This is a non-coding RNA of Ictidomys tridecemlineatus (thirteen-lined ground squirrel), 111 nucleotides long. The record is from Rfam. Lineage: Eukaryota; Metazoa; Chordata; Mammalia; Rodentia; Sciuridae.
CUGAUUCAACAUUAAGAAAACACAUAUACUCAAAUUUUAAUGAUGCAGAGAAUAUUAGCAUGGCCCCUGCAUGAGGAUGACAUGCAAAUUCAUGGAGUGUUUCAUAUUUUU